UCGCGGUUUACACCGGCAGUCUCGUUAGAGUGCCCAGCAUGACCUGAUGGCAACUAACGACGUGGGUUGCGCUCGUUAUGGGACUUAACCCGACACCUCACGGCACGAGCUGACGACAACCAUGCAGCACCUUGAAGAGUGUCCGAAGAAGACCACCUUUCGGCAGCUGUCACUCCCCAUUUAAACCCAGGUAAGGUUCCUCGCGUAUCAUCGAAUUAAACCACAUGUUCCUCCGCUUGUGCGGGCCCCCGUCAAUUCCUUUGAGUUUCAGCCUUGCGGCCGUACUCCCCAGGUGGAUCACUUAUCGAUUUCUCUUGGUCACUUGCAGUGUAUCGCAAACAACGAGUGAUCAUCGUUUACUGCGUGGACUAC
RNAcentral lists this unclassified non-coding RNA (372 nucleotides) under uncultured Marinilabiliaceae bacterium. RNAcentral describes it as "contains 16S-23S intergenic spacer region". Lineage: Bacteria; Pseudomonadati; Bacteroidota; Bacteroidia; Marinilabiliales; Marinilabiliaceae. The record is from RNAcentral.